UGCCCAUGAUGACAUAUUCGACAUCGGAAUUUGCAUGGCUCAGACUGCCUGAGGUGGACCCUGUGAUCAGACUCAGAGUCGGCAAUUCCUGCUUCUUCCGUCGUAAUCUUGGAGGCUGCCCUUGCAGCAUAGGCAGUGGCCGUAAGGCCGGCGGAACACGACCAGCCAGAGGCAAGACUGCUGUCUGUCGUUAAGCCCCAGACUGACAACUUAGGCCAUGGCUUACAGAACACAAACCUCAAAAUGAAGCACAGUGGAUUGUCGACGCAGGAUCCACUUAGGUCUGGGUUGCCAUUGACGACGUCUUUAGUAAUCUGACAGCAU
Molecule: small nucleolar RNA, 324 nt
Organism: Drosophila biarmipes
Lineage: Eukaryota; Metazoa; Arthropoda; Insecta; Diptera; Drosophilidae
Source: RefSeq, a predicted model, not a curated record